GACGAACGCUGGCGGCGUGCCUAAUACAUGCAAGUCGAACGCUUCUUUCCUCCCUUGUUCUUGCACUCCAUUGGCGAGCGGGGUGGCGGAACGUUGAGUAACACGUCGGUAACCUACCCAUCAGCGUGGGAUCACCCUUGGAAACAGGUGCUAAUACCGCAUAACAUUUUAUUCCGCAUGGCAUAAUUGUGAACGGCGCUUUCGUCUCUCGCUGUUGGCUGGAUCCGCGGUGCAUUAGCUAGCUGGUGAGGUAACGGCUCACCACGUCAACGAUGCAUAGCCGACCGGAGAGGGUGAUCGGCCACACGGGGACUGAGACACGGACCAGACGCCUACGGGAGGCAGCAGUAGGGAAUCGUCGGCAAUGGACGAAAGUCUGACCGAGCAACGCCGCGUGAGUGAAGAAGGUGUUCGGAUCGUAAAACUCUGUUGUUAGAGAAGAACAAGGACGUUAGUAACUGAACGUAACCUGACGGUACCUAACCAGAAAGCCACGGCUAACUACGUG
Molecule: ribosomal RNA, 508 nt
Filed under: uncultured bacterium
Lineage: Bacteria
Description: partial 16S ribosomal RNA
Rfam family: Bacterial small subunit ribosomal RNA
Source: RNAcentral